AGAGUUUGAUCCUGGCUCAGGAUCAACGCUGGCGGCGUGCCUAACGCAUGUAAGUCGCACGCAAGCACUUCGGUGCUUGAGUGGCGAACGGCUGAGGAACACGUACGAACCUGCCCGUUCGUGGGGAAUAACGCGCCGAAAGGUGUGCUAAUACCGCGUACGCUCACGCGAGUGAGGAAAGCCUUCGGGCGCGGACGGAGGGGCGUGCGGCCCAUCAGGUGGUUGGCGGGGUAAUGGCCCACCAAGCCGUUGACGGGUAGCUGGUCUGUGAGGACGAUCAGCCAGACUGGGACUGAGAAACGGCCCAGACACCUACGGGUGGCAGCAGCGAGGAAUCUUCUACAAUGGGCGCAAGCCCGAUAGAGCAACGCCGCGUGGAGGACGACGGCCUUCGGGUUGUAAACUCCUUUCAGGGGGGAUGAUACGGACAGUACCCCCAGAAGCAGCCCCGGCUAACUCUGUGCCAGCAGCCGCGGUAAGACAGAGGGGGCAAGCGUUGUCCGGAUUUACUGGGCGUACAGCGCGCGCAGGCGGCCGAGAAGGUGCCGUGUGACAGCUGGGGGCUUAACCUCCAGUGGCCACGGUAGACCGGUGGGCUGGAGGCAGGGAGAGGGUUGUGGAAUACCCGGUGGAGCGGUGAAAUGCGUAGAGAUCGGGUGGAACACCAGGGGCGCAGGCGGCAACCUGGCCCUGACCUGACGCUGAGGCGCGAGAGCGUGGGGAGCGAACCGGAUUAGAUACCCCGGUAGUCC
This 752-nucleotide ribosomal RNA is filed under the name uncultured Chloroflexota bacterium. RNAcentral describes it as "bacterial SSU rRNA". It matches the Rfam family "Bacterial small subunit ribosomal RNA", at positions 8 to 796 of the family's 1533-position model. Lineage: Bacteria; Bacillati; Chloroflexota. The record is from RNAcentral.